GACGAACGCUGGCGGCGUGCUUAACACAUGCAAGUCGAACGGAAAGGCCCUGCUUUUGUGGGGUGCUCGAGUGGCGAACGGGUGAGUAACACGUGAGUAACCUGCCCUUGACUUUGGGAUAACUUCAGGAAACUGGGGCUAAUACCGGAUAGGAGCUCCUGCUGCAUGGUGGGGGUUGGAAAGUUUCGGCGGUUGGGGAUGGACUCGCGGCUUAUCAGCUUGUUGGUGGGGUAGUGGCUUACCAAGGCUUUGACGGGUAGCCGGCCUGGGAGGGUGACCGGCCUCAUUGGGACUGAGAUACGGCCCAGACUCCUACGGGAGGCAGCAGUGGGGAAUAUUGCACAAUGGGCGGAAGCCUGAUGCAGCAACGCCGCGUGCGGGAUGACGGCCUUCGGGUUGUAAACCGCUUUCGCCUGUGACGAAGCGUGAGUGACGGUAAUGGGUAAAGAAGCACCGGCUAACUACGUG
This 468-nucleotide ribosomal RNA is filed under the name uncultured bacterium. Its description in RNAcentral is "partial 16S ribosomal RNA". It matches the Rfam family "Bacterial small subunit ribosomal RNA", at positions 28 to 507 of the family's 1533-position model. The record is from RNAcentral.